This is a long non-coding RNA of Amphibalanus amphitrite, 1043 nucleotides long. RefSeq lists it as uncharacterized. NCBI's taxonomy places the organism in Eukaryota, Metazoa, Arthropoda, Thecostraca, Balanomorpha, Balanidae. The record is from RefSeq and is a predicted model, not a curated record. The transcript has 3 exons.
GACAUACUAGUAGAGGAUACACUACUGCAUUUUGUGCGCAGUUUCCGGUAAGCAGUCUAGCUGUCCCAUCAGUGUUCCCAUCCGGGCGUUAUCAACCUGUCAGCUUUUGCUCAAAGGUGCUAUGUUAAUCAAGAGCUCAGUUGGCGUUAUGUUCAGGGUUGUCCGCGUCCUUUCGGUGUUGCGGUGUAGGGUGUAGCAGAGUUUAAGGUUUUUUUUUAUAAUGCAGUUAAUAGCAACAGCAUCGUAGUUUGUACUCGAUGUCGCUUCUCAGCCGCCACAGCCCGAUCCUAGGUGAUGCAGCUUUCCAGCUCACUACGUGUCUUGUCACGUCCUUUCAAGAAAACAAGCUGCGCAACCAGAAUCCAGGUGAGUUGAAUCCAGGUGAGUUAACAUCCCGAGAGAAGAGGCUCUUCAACUACAAACUGUCUGGGAGUCAUCGUGGAGCAGGCGUUCGGUAAGCUUAAAGGUAAGCUUCGGAGGCAACAUUAGGUGGAGACCAAGUGUCCAAAAAGCCAUUGAUAUCUCGUGCGCCGCGUGUAUCCUGCAAAGCAUGUGUGUCCUGGACGACAGGACAGGAGUUCGUGAAGGCAACCCAGGACACAUUCCACCUGACCCUGGGAGUGCAGUACCACCGCGACCGAUGGGGCGAGGCGGCGCCGGAUCCUGCCGAACUGGAGGGCCCCCACCGCCAGUGCCGGUACCAGGCGUACCGGCACUUCGUGCUCUGGCAGUGAGGAGCCCUCGGUCGGGGGAACCGGCGCGCCCUGCCGGCCUGCGCCGUGACGGCCAUCAGGACCAAGUACCCGAGUCCGUCGGGGGAGUUACACGGGCUUCAAGGACGUGCCACUACAGACGCACCACGGUCGGCGCGGUGACAGACUGGCCGAGAUCUACUUGGCCUUAACUCGGUGGAGAAGAGGCGGCGAACGUCAAGCUUCCGGUGUCAGUCACCAUUAAAGUUAAAGUUAAAGUUAGUCGAGUGUGUUAGGUAAUAACAUUUAACGAGUGAAACAUUGGAGCAUUGAGGUGAAGAUUGACCCCGU